This 478-nucleotide ribosomal RNA is filed under the name uncultured bacterium. Its description in RNAcentral is "partial 16S ribosomal RNA". It matches the Rfam family "Bacterial small subunit ribosomal RNA", at positions 28 to 523 of the family's 1533-position model. The record is from RNAcentral.
GACGAACGCUGGCGGCGUGCUUAACACAUGCAAGUCGAACGGUAAGGCCCUUCGGGGUACACGAGUGGCGAACGGGUGAGUAACACGUGGGUGAUCUGCCCUGCACUUCGGGAUAAGCCUGGGAAACUGGGUCUAAUACCGGAUAGGACCACUGCCUGCAUGGGUGGUGGUGGAAAGCUUUUGCGGUGUGGGAUGGGCCCGCGGCCUAUCAGCUUGUUGGUGGGGCGAUGGCCUACCAAGGCGACGACGGGUAGCCGGCCUGAGAGGGUGACCGGCCACACUGGGACUGAGAUACGGCCCAGACUCCUACGGGAGACAGCAGGGGGGAAUAUUGCACAAUGGGCGCAAGCCUGAUGCAGCGACGCCGCGUGAGGGAUGACGGCCUUCGGGUUGUAAACCUCUUUCAGCACCGACGAAGCGCAAGUGACGGUAGGUGCAGAAGAAGGACCGGCCAACUACGUGCCAGCCGCCGCGGUAA